CGAUCGGUAGCCGGACUGAGAGGUUGAACGGCCACAUUGGGACUGAGACACGGCCCAGACUCCUACGGGAGGCAGCAGUGGGGAAUAUUGCACAAUGGGGGAAACCCUGAUGCAGCGACGCCGCGUGGAGGAAGAAGGUCUUCGGAUUGUAAACUCCUGUUGUUGAGGAAGAUAAUGACGGUACUCAACAAGGAAGUGACGGCUAACUACGUGCCAGCAGCCGCGGUAAAACGUAGGUCACAAGCGUUGUCCGGAAUUACUGGGUGUAAAGGGAGCGCAGGCGGGAAGACAAGUUGGAAGUGAAAUCCAUGGGCUUAACCCAUGAACUGCUUUCAAAACUGUUUUUCUUGAGUAGUGCAGAGGUAGGCGGAAUUCCCGGUGUAGCGGUGGAAUGCGUAGAUAUCGGGAGGAACACAGUGGCGAAGGCGGCCUACUGGGCACCAACUGACGCUGAGGCUCGAAAGUGUGGGUAGCAAACAGGAUUAGAUACCCUGGUAGUCCACACUGUAAACGAUGAUUACUAGGUGUUGGAGGAUUGACCCCUUCAGUGCCGCAGUUAACACAAUAAGUAAUCCACCUGGGGAGUACGACCGCAAGGUUGAAACUCAAAGGAAUUGACGGGGGCCCGCACAAGCAGUGGAGUAUGUGGUUUAAUUCGACGCAACGCGAAGAACCUUACCAAGUCUUGACAUCCUGCGACGCACAUAGAAAUAUGUGUUUCCUUCGGGACGCAGAGACAGGUGGUGCAUGGUUGUCGUCAGCUCGUGUCGUGAGAUGUUGGGUUAAGUCCCGCAACGAGCGCAACCCUUAUGGUCAGUUACUACGCAAGAGGACUCUGGCCAGACUGCCGUUGACAAAACGGAGGAAGGUGGGGAUGACGUCAAAUCAUCAUGCCCUUUAUGACUUGGGCUACACACGUACUACAAUGGCGUUAAACAAAGAGAAGCAAGACCGCGAGGUGGAGCAAAACUCAGAAACAACGUCCCAGUUCGGACUGCAGGCUGCAACUCGCCUGCACGAAGUCGGAAUUGCUAGUAAUCGCAGAUCAGCAUGCUGCGGUGAAUACGUUCCCGGGCCUUGUACACACCGCCCGUCACACCAUGAGAGCCGGGGGGACCCGAAGUCGGUAGUCUAACCGCAAGGAGGACGCCGCCGAAGGUAAAACUGGUGAUUGGGGUGAAGUCGUAACAAGGUAGCCGUAGGAGAACCUGCGGCUG
This 1217-nucleotide ribosomal RNA is filed under the name metagenome. RNAcentral's name for it is "bacterial SSU rRNA". It matches the Rfam family "Bacterial small subunit ribosomal RNA", at positions 277 to 1520 of the family's 1533-position model. The record is from RNAcentral.